GACGAACGCUGGCGGCGUGCCUAACACAUGCAAGUCGAACGGAACUGUUUUGACAGAUUUCUUCGGAAUGAAUUUGAUGUAGUUUAGUGGCGGACGGGUGAGUAACGCGUGAGUAACCUGCCUUCAAGAGUGGAAUAACAUUCUGAAAAGAAUGCUAAUACCGCAUGACAUAUCAGAACCACAUGGUUUUGCUAUCAAAGAUUUUAUCGCUUGAAGAUGGACUCGCGUCCGAUUAGUUAGUUGGUGAGGUAACGGCUCACCAAGACCGCGAUCGGUAGCCGGAGUGAGAGAGUGAACAGCGACAUAGGGGAUGAGACACGGCCCCGACACCUCCGCGAGGGAGAAGAGGGGGAUAUAGUGCAAUGGGGGCAACACUGACGCAGAGACGCGGCGUGAAAAAGGAGGGUUUUCGGAAUUUAUAAUUCUUUUAUUAAGGACGAAAAAUGACGGUACUUAAUGAAUAAGCCCCGGCUAACUACGUG
Molecule: ribosomal RNA, 482 nt
Filed under: uncultured bacterium
Lineage: Bacteria
Description: partial 16S ribosomal RNA
Rfam family: Bacterial small subunit ribosomal RNA
Source: RNAcentral